This 424-nucleotide ribosomal RNA is filed under the name uncultured bacterium. RNAcentral's name for it is "bacterial SSU rRNA". It matches the Rfam family "Bacterial small subunit ribosomal RNA", at positions 29 to 488 of the family's 1533-position model. The record is from RNAcentral.
AACGAACGCUGGCGGCAGGCCUAACACAUGCAAGUCGAGGGAGAAGCUACUUUCGGGUAGUGGAGACCGGCAGACGGGUGAGUAACACGUGGGAACAUACCGAGUAGUGGGGGAUAACAGUUGGAAACGACUGCUAAUACCGCAUACGCCCUUCGGGGGAAAGAUUUAUCGCUAUUUGAUUGGCCCGCGUUAGAUUAGCUAGUUGGUAAGGUAACGGCUUACCAAGGCGACGAUCUAUAGCUGGUUUGAGAGGAUGAUCAGCCACACUGGGACUGAGACACGGCCCAGACUCCUACGGGAGGCAGCAGUGGGGAAUAUUGCGCAAUGGAGGAAACUCUGACGCAGCCAUGCCGCGUGAGUGAAGACGGCCUUAGGGUUGUAAAGCUCUUUCAGACGUGAUGAUGAUGACAGUAGCGUCAAAAAG